Molecule: non-coding RNA, 78 nt
Organism: Schistosoma margrebowiei
Lineage: Eukaryota; Metazoa; Platyhelminthes; Trematoda; Strigeidida; Schistosomatidae
Source: Rfam
AGCUUUCUGAAUCUGUGCUGAGAUUUCGUCAAACACCAAUCCAUUAGAGCUGAUUAGACUUCCAAGAUAAGUGAAGUU